CCAACCUGUUGAACUCUUCUGAAGUGCCAGGCCCUAGAUUCCAUGCUCAUGGUCAGUUCCAGCAUUCAAGGAGAUCAGGAUAUAAUGGACACGUAAACAGUCGGACUACGGCAGUAGAGGAGCUGGAGCUACAGCUUGUAGGGCCAGGA
RNAcentral lists this long non-coding RNA (149 nucleotides) under Ictidomys tridecemlineatus (thirteen-lined ground squirrel). RNAcentral's name for it is "lncRNA (ENSSTOG00000032620.1)". The record is from RNAcentral. Lineage: Eukaryota; Metazoa; Chordata; Mammalia; Rodentia; Sciuridae.